UGGAGGAAGUUGAAAAGUACUUUGAAGAGAGAGUUCAAGAGGACGUGAAACCGGUAGGAUGGAAACGGAUAGAGCCAACGAACAAGCCCGUAUUCAGCUAGUCGGCUGCGUGCGGCAUGCCUGUGUGCUCGUUCAGGGUGCAUGGGUGUGUGCGGUAUGCGGUCGGCUAGUGCAUUUGCGGGUGAUGUGCGCUGAGGCGUGUGGCGGAGUCCUGCAAACUGUCUGGAGAGGCCUCGCCUUCGGGCUUGAAACCUACAGGCGGGGAGUCGGGUUUCUGCUGCAUGUAGACGAAGCGGCUAGGUGCAAACGCGCUGUCGUGCUGCCGGGCUAGCUGCUUGGCCGGUCGCAUGCGACUAGGUCUUGUUGGUUGGUCUUGGUGGUACGGCAGUGCCCUGGUCGACCCUCGGUGUAAAAGUUGGUCAUCUCUCCGACCCGUCUUGAAACACGGACCAAGGAGUCUAGCGUAUGCGCGAGUCAUUGGGUGGAAAACCCAUAGGCGAAAUGAAAGUGAAGGUCUCUUCAUGAGGCUGAUAUGCGAUCCGUUGCACUACGGUGUACGCGGAGCAGCAUAGCCCCGUCUCGACUGCUUGCAGUGGGGCGGAGGUAGAGCGUAUACGCUGGUACCCGAAAGAUGGUGAACUAUGCCUGAGCAGGAUGAAGCCAGAGGAAACUCUGGUGGAGGUCCGAAGCGCUUCUGACGUGCAAAUCGAUCGUCUGACUUGGGUAUA
RNAcentral lists this ribosomal RNA (728 nucleotides) under Acrobeloides sp. HWO. RNAcentral describes it as "partial large subunit ribosomal RNA". It matches the Rfam family "Eukaryotic large subunit ribosomal RNA", at positions 354 to 919 of the family's 3401-position model. The record is from RNAcentral. Lineage: Eukaryota; Metazoa; Nematoda; Chromadorea; Rhabditida; Cephalobidae.